Molecule: ribosomal RNA, 253 nt
Filed under: uncultured bacterium
Lineage: Bacteria
Description: partial 16S ribosomal RNA
Rfam family: Bacterial small subunit ribosomal RNA
Source: RNAcentral
UACAGAGGGUGCAAGCGUUGCUCGGAAUCAUUGGGCGUAAAGGGUGCGUAGGCGGGUCUUUAAGUCAGGGGUGAAAUCCUGGAGCUCAACUCCAGAACUGCCUUUGAUACUGAAGAUCUUGAGUUCGGGAGAGGUGAGUGGAACUGCGAGUGUAGAGGUGAAAUUCGUAGAUAUUCGGAAGAACACCAGUGGCGAAGGCGGCUCACUGGCCCGGUACUAACGCUGAGGUGCGAAAGCGUGGGGAGCAAACAGG